RNAcentral lists this ribosomal RNA (116 nucleotides) under Escherichia coli. Lineage: Bacteria; Pseudomonadati; Pseudomonadota; Gammaproteobacteria; Enterobacterales; Enterobacteriaceae. The record is from RNAcentral.
CCUGGAGGCCUUAGCGCGGUGGUCCCACCUGACCCCAUGCCGAACUCAGAAGUGAAACGCCGUAGCGCCGAUGGUAGUGUGGGGUCUCCCCAUGCGAGAGUAGGGAACUGCCAGGC